GACGAACGCUGGCGGCGUGCUUAACACAUGCAAGUCGAACGGAAAGGCCCUGCUUGCGGGGUACUCGAGUGGCGAACGGGUGAGUAACACGUGGGUGACCUGCCCCUUACAUUGGGAUAAGCAUGGGAAACUGGGGCUAAUACCGGAUAGGAGCCAACUUUCGCGUGGUGGUUGGAAAGUUUUUUCGGGGGAGGGUGAGCUCGCGGCCUAUCAGCUUGUUGGUGGGGUGAUGGCCUACUAAGGGGGCGACGGGUGGCCGGCCGGUGAGGGUGUACGGCGACAUUGUGACAGUGAGACGGCGCAGAGACCCACGGGGGGGAGAAGAGUGGGAUAUUGCACAAUGUGGGCGAGACUGAUGCGGAGAGGCGGCGUGUGGGAUGAAGGCCUUCGGGGUGUAAACUCCUUUCGCUAGAGAGGAGGCGUUUUAGUGACGGUACCUAGAGAAGAAGCACCGGCUAACUACGUG
Molecule: ribosomal RNA, 466 nt
Filed under: uncultured bacterium
Lineage: Bacteria
Description: partial 16S ribosomal RNA
Rfam family: Bacterial small subunit ribosomal RNA
Source: RNAcentral